This 422-nucleotide ribosomal RNA is filed under the name uncultured bacterium. RNAcentral describes it as "bacterial SSU rRNA". It matches the Rfam family "Bacterial small subunit ribosomal RNA", at positions 355 to 774 of the family's 1533-position model. The record is from RNAcentral.
UAAGGAAUAUUGGACAAUGGACGCAAGUCUGAUCCAGCCAUGCCGCGUGAAGGAUGAAUGCCCUCUGGGUUGUAAACUUCUUUUAUAGGGGAAGAAAGAUACUUUUUUUAAGGUAGUUGACGGUACCCUAUGAAUAAGCACCGGCUAACUCCGUGCCAGCAGCCGCGGUAAUACGGAGGGUGCAAGCGUUAUCCGGAUUUACUGGGCGUAAAGCGUACGUAGGCGGAUGCGCAAGUUGGGGGUGAAAUCCCGGGGCUUAACCUCGGAAUUGCCCUCAAAACUGCACGUCUUGAGACCGAGAGAGGUAAGGGGAAUUCCUAGUGUAGAGGUGAAAUUCGUAGAUAUUAGGAAGAACACCAGUGGCGAAGGCGGCCAUCUGGACCAGUACUGACGCUGAGGCACGAAAGCGUGGGGAGCAAACA